UUAAGCGACUAAGCGUACACGGUGGAUGCCCUGGCAGUCAGAGGCGAUGAAGGACGUGCUAAUCUGCGAUAAGCGUCGGUAAGGUGAUAUGAACCGUUAUAACCGGCGAUUUCCGAAUGGGGAAACCCAGUGUGUUUCGACACACUAUCAUUAACUGAAUCCAUAGGUUAAUGAGGCGAACCGGGGGAACUGAAACAUCUAAGUACCCCGAGGAAAAGAAAUCAACCGAGAUUCCCCCAGUAGCGGCGAGCGAACGGGGAGCAGCCCAGAGCCUGAAUCAGUGUGUGUGUUAGUGGAAGCGUCUGGAAAGGCGUGCGAUACAGGGUGACAGCCCCGUACACAAAAAUGCACAUGCUGUGAGCUCGAUGAGUAGGGCGGGACACGUGGUAUCCUGUCUGAAUAUGGGGGGACCAUCCUCCAAGGCUAAAUACUCCUGACUGACCGAUAGUGAACCAGUACCGUGAGGGAAAGGCGAAAAGAACCCCGGCGAGGGGAGUGAAAAAGAACCUGAAACCGUGUACGUACAAGCAGUGGGAGCACGCUUAGGCGUGUGACUGCGUACCUUUUGUAUAAUGGGUCAGCGACUUAUAUUCUGUAGCAAGGUUAACCGAAUAGGGGAGCCGAAGGGAAACCGAGUCUUAACUGGGCGUUAAGUUGCAGGGUAUAGACCCGAAACCCGGUGAUCUAGCCAUGGGCAGGUUGAAGGUUGGGUAACACUAACUGGAGGACCGAACCGACUAAUGUUGAAAAAUUAGCGGAUGACUUGUGGCUGGGGGUGAAAGGCCAAUCAAACCGGGAGAUAGCUGGUUCUCCCCGAAAGCUAUUUAGGUAGCGCCUCGUGAAUUCAUCUCCGGGGGUAGAGCACUGUUUCGGCAAGGGGGUCAUCCCGACUUACCAACCCGAUGCAAACUGCGAAUACCGGAGAAUGUUAUCACGGGAGACACACGGCGGGUGCUAACGUCCGUCGUGAAGAGGGAAACAACCCAGACCGCCAGCUAAGGUCCCAAAGUCAUGGUUAAGUGGGAAACGAUGUGGGAAGGCCCAGACAGCCAGGAUGUUGGCUUAGAAGCAGCCAUCAUUUAAAGAAAGCGUAAUAGCUCACUGGUCGAGUCGGCCUGCGCGGAAGAUGUAACGGGGCUAAACCAUGCACCGAAGCUGCGGCAGCGACGCUGAUGCGUUGUUGGGUAGGGGAGCGUUCUGUAAGCCUGCGAAGGUGUGCUGUGAGGCAUGCUGGAGGUAUCAGAAGUGCGAAUGCUGACAUAAGUAACGAUAAAGCGGGUGAAAAGCCCGCUCGCCGGAAGACCAAGGGUUCCUGUCCAACGUUAAUCGGGGCAGGGUGAGUCGACCCCUAAGGCGAGGCCGAAAGGCGUAGUCGAUGGGAAACAGGUUAAUAUUCCUGUACUUGGUGUUACUGCGAAGGGGGGACGGAGAAGGCUAUGUUGGCCGGGCGACGGUUGUCCCGGUUUAAGCGUGUAGGCUGGUUUUCCAGGCAAAUCCGGAAAAUCAAGGCUGAGGCGUGAUGACGAGGCACUACGGUGCUGAAGCAACAAAUGCCCUGCUUCCAGGAAAAGCCUCUAAGCAUCAGGUAACAUCAAAUCGUACCCCAAACCGACACAGGUGGUCAGGUAGAGAAUACCAAGGCGCUUGAGAGAACUCGGGUGAAGGAACUAGGCAAAAUGGUGCCGUAACUUCGGGAGAAGGCACGCUGAUAUGUAGGUGAAGCGACUUGCUCGUGGAGCUGAAAUCAGUCGAAGAUACCAGCUGGCUGCAACUGUUUAUUAAAAACACAGCACUGUGCAAACACGAAAGUGGACGUAUACGGUGUGACGCCUGCCCGGUGCCGGAAGGUUAAUUGAUGGGGUCAGCGCAAGCGAAGCUCUUGAUCGAAGCCCCGGUAAACGGCGGCCGUAACUAUAACGGUCCUAAGGUAGCGAAAUUCCUUGUCGGGUAAGUUCCGACCUGCACGAAUGGCGUAAUGAUGGCCAGGCUGUCUCCACCCGAGACUCAGUGAAAUUGAACUCGCUGUGAAGAUGCAGUGUACCCGCGGCAAGACGGAAAGACCCCGUGAACCUUUACUAUAGCUUGACACUGAACAUUGAGCCUUGAUGUGUAGGAUAGGUGGGAGGCUUUGAAGUGUGGACGCCAGUCUGCAUGGAGCCGACCUUGAAAUACCACCCUUUAAUGUUUGAUGUUCUAACGUUGACCCGUGAUCCGGGUUGCGGACAGUGUCUGGUGGGUAGUUUGACUGGGGCGGUCUCCUCCUAAAGAGUAACGGAGGAGCACGAAGGUUGGCUAAUCCUGGUCGGACAUCAGGAGGUUAGUGCAAUGGCAUAAGCCAGCUUGACUGCGAGCGUGACGGCGCGAGCAGGUGCGAAAGCAGGUCAUAGUGAUCCGGUGGUUCUGAAUGGAAGGGCCAUCGCUCAACGGAUAAAAGGUACUCCGGGGAUAACAGGCUGAUACCGCCCAAGAGUUCAUAUCGACGGCGGUGUUUGGCACCUCGAUGUCGGCUCAUCACAUCCUGGGGCUGAAGUAGGUCCCAAGGGUAUGGCUGUUCGCCAUUUAAAGUGGUACGCGAGCUGGGUUUAGAACGUCGUGAGACAGUUCGGUCCCUAUCUGCCGUGGGCGCUGGAGAACUGAGGGGGGCUGCUCCUAGUACGAGAGGACCGGAGUGGACGCAUCACUGGUGUUCGGGUUGUCAUGCCAAUGGCACUGCCCGGUAGCUAAAUGCGGAAGAGAUAAGUGCUGAAAGCAUCUAAGCACGAAACUUGCCCCGAGAUGAGUUCUCCCUGACUCCUUGAGAGUCCUGAAGGAACGUUGAAGACGACGACGUUGAUAGGCCGGGUGUGUAAGCGCAGCGAUGCGUUGAGCUAACCGGUACUAAUGAACCGUGAGGCUUAACCUU
RNAcentral lists this ribosomal RNA (2902 nucleotides) under Escherichia coli. RNAcentral describes it as "bacterial LSU rRNA". It matches the Rfam family "Bacterial large subunit ribosomal RNA". The record is from RNAcentral. Lineage: Bacteria; Pseudomonadati; Pseudomonadota; Gammaproteobacteria; Enterobacterales; Enterobacteriaceae.